CCUACGGGCGGCUGCAGUGGGGAAUUUUGGACAAUGGGGGCAACCCUGAUCCAGCCAUUCCGCGUGAGUGAAGAAGGCCUUCGGGUUGUAAAGCUCUUUCGGCAGGAACGAAACGGUGGGUCCUAAUACGAUCUGCUAAUGACGGUACCUGAAGAAGAAGCACCGGCUAACUACGUGCCAGCAGCCGCGGUAAUACGUAGGGUGCGAGCGUUAAUCGGAAUUACUGGGCGUAAAGCGUGCGCAGGCGGUUUUGUAAGACAGAUGUGAAAUCCCCGGGCUUAACCUGGGAACUGCGUUUGUGACUGCAAGACUCGAGUGCGGCAGAGGGGGGUGGAAUUCCACGUGUAGCAGUGAAAUGCGUAGAGAUGUGGAGGAACACCGAUGGCGAAGGCAGCCCCCUGGGUCGACACUGACGCUCAUGCACGAAAGCGUGGGUAGCAAACAGGAUUAGAUACCCUUGUAGUCG
This 466-nucleotide ribosomal RNA is filed under the name uncultured Rhodocyclaceae bacterium. Its description in RNAcentral is "bacterial SSU rRNA". It matches the Rfam family "Bacterial small subunit ribosomal RNA", at positions 338 to 796 of the family's 1533-position model. The record is from RNAcentral. Lineage: Bacteria; Pseudomonadati; Pseudomonadota; Betaproteobacteria; Rhodocyclales; Rhodocyclaceae.